Molecule: ribosomal RNA, 279 nt
Filed under: uncultured Pseudomonas sp.
Lineage: Bacteria; Pseudomonadati; Pseudomonadota; Gammaproteobacteria; Pseudomonadales; Pseudomonadaceae
Description: partial 16S ribosomal RNA
Rfam family: Bacterial small subunit ribosomal RNA
Source: RNAcentral
GUCCUUAGUUACCAGCACGUUAUGGUGGGCGGCUCUAAGGAGACUGCCGGUGACAAACCGGAGGAAGGUGGGGAGUGACGUCAAGUCAUCAUGGCCCUUACGGCCUGGGCUACACACGUGCUACAAUGGUCGGUACAAAGGGUUGCCAAGCCGCGAGGUGGAGCUAAUCCCAUAAAACCGAAUCGUAGUCCGGAUCGCAGUCUGCAACUCGACUGCGUGAAGUCGGAAUCGCUAGUAAUCGUGAAUCAGAAUGUCACGGUGAAUACGUUCCCGGGCCUU